Quercus robur (English oak) is the source of this 1978-nucleotide long non-coding RNA. RefSeq lists it as uncharacterized. Lineage: Eukaryota; Viridiplantae; Streptophyta; Magnoliopsida; Fagales; Fagaceae. The record is from RefSeq and is a predicted model, not a curated record. The transcript has 4 exons.
UUUUAUCUUCUCUCCUCUGUUCUUCAGCCGCCUCCAUCCCCAAUUUUCCCUCUUUCUCUCUAACAGUCAAAAACUCAAAAACACAACUCCAAUCCUCUCUAUAAUUUUUUGCUCUCUCUAUAUCUCUUCACCGCAUGCUUGGACCUUGUCAAUAUCAAAAUCAAAUUUAGAUCUCUUUAUUUCUCUCCUAUCCCUCAGAUCUGAAAAUUUUCGUUUCCUUUUUCUGAUUUUGCCCUCUGAAAUUCCGGCCGAAAUGAACGAACUAUUAGCCUCCGAUUUCGGCUUCAAACCCCAAGGCAAAUCGGCUCCGAUGGCCGGUUCCAAAUCCACCUCCACCGUCGGAAGAUCGCCAACGCGUCCUCACUCCUCCUUCAAUUCCUUCAAGGAUCAUCGUCGGACGCCACCACCACGACUUCUUCCUCCUUCAAUUUCGAUAUGUUUCGCAAUUUCGGUGCUCCGGUGAAGUCUUCGUCUUCAUCAUUUUGCCUUUUUGGAUAGCUCCAAUUUAUUUGGCAUCAUGCAUAAAGCAGGGAAUGGAUUUGCUAGAGAUUUUAUUGAGCAAGCAACCUGUUCAAUUGAGCAGCUUGAGUAUUUAUUGUAUCCACAUUACCCCUCCUAAGUCCCCUGAUCUUACAGGACCAACACUAGUGCUUAGGUGUGAACCUUCAAUGAUCCAGAAUGCUCUUAAGGUCCAACAUGAUUUUGAUCAUCACCUCAGUAUCAGCAUGUUGCAACUGUUAAUGCACAUGUGGGAGUAAGUGCUAGGUCCGUGUUUGUGUGUGUGUGCUUGGUGUUUGAAAAGUGUGUAGAUUAAAGUAUUGUAGACAAAAACCACAGUGUGUAUGCGUGUGUGUGUGUGUGUAGCAAAGAGUCACAACAGAAUGCAUGUGUGUGUGAAGCAAAGAGUCACAACAGAAUGAAUGUGUGUGUGUGUCCACAUGGCAGUGGAGCCCUCUUAUUUUGAUAGAAUAAUCAAGAUAAUAAUAGGAAAAAGGUAUAUGAAUUUGAUGAUGGCACAUGAUAGGGGCUCAGAAUUUGGCUUUUGUCUGACACAAUUUAAUCUUCUUGUAGACAUUAUUUUCCUUUUAGAUCUGUGUCAUUCUUUAUUACUAGGAUGGAACCUUAAUUCAAAUAUUGUUGUGUUAUUGUUAGUAUUAUCAUUUCAUUUCUAAUAAAUUUAAAUGUUCUGUUGUAAUGACGAAUAAUUUACCAUUAGGGAUGUGAAUGGCUAUGCUGAAGCUAAUGCUUGAAGAAGGAUUUCUUUAGAUAAACAAGAGGUUGUUCAACACAGUUAUUCUUGUGCACCUGAGAGGUCAUUCUUGUAUCAUGGCCGUAUGUAUGUCUCUGCGUGACACAUUUGCUUCCAUUCAAAUAUUUUUUCUAAGCAAAUGAAGGUUAGCCUGUCAUUCUUUUUUCCUAAGGUUGAGCCAAUAUUAUUGUUAGCAAGCAAGUUUGAGACAAUAUUAUAUGGGUGUAUUAUUUCUUUUGAGGAUCUCUGGAGAGCAUCAUUGGUAUGAAUUACUUUUAGGAGGAGCUCUGAUCCUAAAUCACCCAUUCACUUUCAACGUAGUCAUCUCACAUAUAAAGGUGCAAGAAGAACAUAAGAUGGCCUUUUAUGUUUCUUUACAUUAGAAAGCUGCUGGUUUAGUUAAAUUUAUGAGUGAAUGGCUUCUUUUAUAGAUUACUGAAAUAGGCUGGAGUCAUCCACAAGGUCUUAUUAUGAGCUUUUUUAAGUUAUUGGUGUUUGAGGACUUUUUGUGUACAAAGAAAUACAUUUGAACAACUGCAUUUUUUGCCAUUGUUGGAGGAUAUUUUUAAACACUUUGAAACUUUGAUUAUAGAAUUAGCUUAAUUUAAGCAGUCCUUUUAUUCAAAGGACCACAUUUUUUUUUGUUAAUCUUAUGAUUGAUGGUUAUAGACAAUGUUAUGUAUUUGAUAAUAUAUUUCUAUGUUAAUAUUACGUUAGUUUCAAGACAUU